This 235-nucleotide unclassified non-coding RNA is filed under the name Hevea brasiliensis (rubber tree). Lineage: Eukaryota; Viridiplantae; Streptophyta; Magnoliopsida; Malpighiales; Euphorbiaceae. The record is from RNAcentral.
UGGAGAGGUUUGGGGAGGAAAUCCAGCUAGGUUUCUGAGGAAGCUCACACAAGAAGAAAUUGCUUUCAUCUCGGAAUCAGCAGCCAACUACUCUAAUUUAGCACAGGUCCAUGCUGGUGAAAAUGCAAAAAGCUUUGAUGCGAUUGAAUUUGAGAAGGCGCUGCGGAAGAAAUUUGCUCACAAGGACGAGGAGUAUGAUUCUAUGCUGGGAGUUGUCCGUGAAACACCUCCCGAG